CCGAGUUUACAACUCCCAAACCCAAUGUGAACGUUACCAAACUGUUGCCUCGGCGGGAUCUCUGCCCCGGGUGCGUCGCAGCCCCGGACCAAGGCGCCCGCCGGAGGACCAACCAAAACUCUUAUUGUAUACCCCCUCGCGGGUUUUUUUUUAUAAUCUGAGCCUUCUCGGCGCCUCUCGUAGGCGUUUCGAAAAUGAAUCAAAACUUUCAACAACGGAUCUCUUGGUUCUGGCAUCGAUGAAGAACGCAGCGAAAUGCGAUAAGUAAUGUGAAUUGCAGAAUUCAGUGAAUCAUCGAAUCUUUGAACGCACAUUGCGCCCGCCAGUAUUCUGGCGGGCAUGCCUGUCCGAGCGUCAUUUCAACCCUCGAACCCCUCCGGGGGGUCGGCGUUGGGGAUCGGCCCUCCCUUAGCGGGGUGGCCGUCUCCGAAAUACAGUGGCGGUCUCGCCGCAGCCUCUCCUGCGCAGUAGUUUGCACACUCGCAUCGGGAGCGCGGCGCGUCCACAGCCGUUAAACACCCAACUUCUGAAAUGUUGACCUCGGAUCAGGUAGGAAUACCCGCUGAACUUAAGCAUAUCAA
RNAcentral lists this ribosomal RNA (581 nucleotides) under Trichoderma harzianum. RNAcentral describes it as "eukaryotic LSU rRNA". The stretch from base 204 to 357 matches the Rfam family "5.8S ribosomal RNA". Lineage: Eukaryota; Fungi; Ascomycota; Sordariomycetes; Hypocreales; Hypocreaceae. The record is from RNAcentral.